RNAcentral lists this ribosomal RNA (406 nucleotides) under uncultured bacterium. RNAcentral describes it as "partial 16S ribosomal RNA". It matches the Rfam family "Bacterial small subunit ribosomal RNA", at positions 29 to 526 of the family's 1533-position model. The record is from RNAcentral.
AUUGAACGCUGGCGGCAGGCCUAACACAUGCAAGUCGAACGAGUGGCGGACGGGUGAGUAAUGUCUGGGAAACUGCCCGAUGGAGGGGGAUAACUACGGGAAACGGUAGCUAAUACCGCAUACCAUCGGAUGUGCCCAGAUGGGAUUAGCUUGUAGGUGAGGUAACGGCUCACCUAGGCGACGAUCCCUAGCUGGUCUGAGAGGAUGACCAGCAACACUGGAACUGUGCCACGGUCCAGACUCCUACGGGAGGCAUGAGGUGGUAAUAUGGGAAAAUGGGAGCAAGCGUGAGGCAGCCAGGCGGAGGGUAUGAAGAAGGCCUUCGGGUUGUAAAGUACUUUCAGCGGGGAGGCGUGACCAGCAGCAGAAGCACCGGCUAACUCCGUGCCAGCAGCCGCGGUAAUUC